UUUUAGAGAUGGGGUGCCAUGUUGGCCAGGCUGGCAUCAAACUUUAUCCGUAGCUGAGGUUGACCUGAUGACCUUUAAACUCCUGAUGACCCUGCUCCCGUGCAAGUGCUGGAAAUACAGGGUGCACUGACUAUUCUUCCAGAGGACCCGGGUCCAAUUCCCGGCACCUACAUGGCAGCUCACACCUGUCUGUAACUCCAGUUCCAGGGGAUCUGGCAUCCUCAUACGUGCAGGCAGCCCACAGAAGUACAGGAAUCCUGUCGUCUUGUCUUUGGCUCUGCUACUGGGUGCCUGACACACUGAGACAUCAACAACUACUUGUCCAUUGAAUAAGUGGAUGAAUGAACUGUGGUUGGAUGCCUCGUUGAAAGCACUCAAGGAAAUAAGAGCUAAAGGCUCCGGAGUGCUCAGACCACAAACACUUGGGUUUCUGUAGGGAAGAGACAAGGAUGGACACAAUGUAGAGGUGGUAAGAGAUUGGACUUGCUUGGGCAGCUGUGGGAGACGUGGCGAGACUGGGUCCCGCUGAAUGAAGAAGACAUAGCGACACCGCUGAGCCUGGGCCACUCAUCUUCCCGAGCUAAGUUUCAUUUUAUUUUCCUCUGAGUGUGUUCACGCGCAUACAUGCACAAGUGUUUAUAUUCGCGUUCAUGUGUGCGUGCACAGGUAAGCAUGUGUGUCUAUGGUAUUCAGAGAUCAACAUUGGAUCUUUUUCAAAGAAUGUCUUUUUCAGUUGAUUCUCCACCUUGUAUUUGGAAACAGUCUCCCACUGAACCCAGAGUUAGACAGGCCAGCCAGAAACCCUACAGGACCUUUUAUCUGUCUCCCCAGUGCGGGGAUUAUACACUCAUGUCUGCCUGGCUUUCUGUGUGGGCUCGGGGGUUCAGAUCUCAGACCUUCAUGCUUGUGGUCAAUGGAUGACAUCUUCUCAGCCCACGUUAUGGCUUUUUGUGGCUGUAGCUCAGGUGAAUUUCACGCACACCUUUUGUCAAGGGUUGGCAAUACCAGGAAGCACCCACAAAAAGAGGGCGACUCCAUCCAACCUAUUCCUUGGGAAGCAGGCUGGGGCUUCUGUGAUUGCACAGCGAUGGAGAUGGUCCCGGCAUGGAAGCUGGGAGGUCUGAGGGGUCUGUGGUCCUCACUGUGGGAAGUGGUGAUGGACGUGGAUUGGCAAAGGCGGUGGAGAUUGGGAGGAGCUGGAGGUGCCAGUGGCAGUGUUCGUGUGCAGUGUUCGCCGGCUGACUCCCUGUGACCUGGAAGGGUGUUGGGCAUAUCAGUUGGUGUUUAGCUAGGAUAGUAGAACACGUAGAAGGUAUUUCCACAAGGAAACAGUCAUAAAUAUGACAGGCAACUGUAGGAUCCUGAGGGCCCAGGUAACCUAGGAAAAAAUAUCUUCAGAAAGUCACCGAGACUUCCUGUGAAGAAAAAAUGGAAGGCAUGAUGCUCUCAAUACCCAGGAGUGGCUGGCCCCUGACUACAUGGGAAGCCACCAGCACAGUUUGGAGCUAGCCGUGGUGUCCUUAAAACUGCUAAAAAGCCGUGGGAACCCCACUACUGCUAGUGUCCCCU
Chionomys nivalis (European snow vole) is the source of this 1569-nucleotide long non-coding RNA. RefSeq lists it as uncharacterized. Lineage: Eukaryota; Metazoa; Chordata; Mammalia; Rodentia; Cricetidae. The record is from RefSeq and is a predicted model, not a curated record. The transcript is spliced from 4 exons.